RNAcentral lists this ribosomal RNA (430 nucleotides) under Acidobacteriota bacterium. RNAcentral's name for it is "Acidobacteria bacterium partial 16S ribosomal RNA". It matches the Rfam family "Bacterial small subunit ribosomal RNA", at positions 355 to 776 of the family's 1533-position model. The record is from RNAcentral. Lineage: Bacteria; Pseudomonadati; Acidobacteriota.
UGGGGAAUAUUGGACAAUGGGCGCAAGCCUGAUCCAGCCAUGCCGCGUGUGUGAAGAAGGCCUUUUGGUUGUAAAGCACUUUAAGCGAGGAGGAGGCUACUUGGAUUAAUACUCUAGGAUAGUGGACGUUACUCGCAGAAUAAGCACCGGCUAACUCUGUGCCAGCAGCCGCGGUAAUACAGAGGGUGCGAGCGUUAAUCGGAUUUACUGGGCGUAAAGCGUGCGUAGGCGGCUUUUUAAGUCGGAUGUGAAAUCCCUGAGCUUAACUUAGGAAUUGCAUUCGAUACUGGGAAGCUAGAGUAUGGGAGAGGAUGGUAGAAUUCCAGGUGUAGCAGUGAAAUGCGUAGAGAUCUGGAGGAAUACCGAUGGCGAAGGCAGCCAUCUGGCCUAAUACUGACGCUGAGGUACGAAAGCAUGGGGAGCAAACAGG